GAUAAGAACGCAGCGAAAUGCGAUACGUAAUGUGAAUUGCAGAAUUCAGUGAAUCAUCGAGUCUUUGAACGCACAUUGCGCCCCCUGGUAUUCCGGGGGGCAUGCCUGUCCGAGCGUCAUUGCUGCCCUCAAGCACGGCUUGUGUGUUGGGCCUCCGUCCUCCUCCCGGGGGACGGGCCCGAAAGGCAGCGGCGGCACCGCGUCCGGUCCUCGAGCGUAUGGGGCUUCGUCACCCGCUCUUGUAGGCCCGGCCGGCGCUUGCCGACACAUCAAUCUUUUUUCCAGGUUGACCUCGGAUCAGGUAGGGAUACCCGCUGAACUUAAGCAUAUCAAUAAGCGGAGGA
Molecule: unclassified non-coding RNA, 344 nt
Filed under: soil metagenome
Description: partial contains 5.8S ribosomal RNA, internal transcribed spacer 2, and large subunit ribosomal RNA
Rfam family: 5.8S ribosomal RNA (bases 4-119)
Source: RNAcentral